GACGAACGCUGGCGGCGUGCUUAACACAUGCAAGUCGAACGGUAAGGCCCUUCGGGGUACACGAGUGGCGAACGGGUGAGUAACACGUGGGUAAUCUGCCCUGCACAUCGGGAUAAGCCUGGGAAACUGGGUCUAAUACCGAAUCGGACUACAGGCCACAUGUCCUGUGGUGGAAAGCUUUUGGGGUGUGGGAUGGGCCCGCGGCCUAUCAGCAUGUUGGUGGGGUGAUGGCCUACCAAGGCGACGACGGGGAGCCGGCCUGGGAGGGUGUCCGGCCACACUGGGACUGAGAUUGGGCCCAGACUCCUACGGGAGGCAGCAGUGGGGAAAAUUGCGCAAUGGGCGAAAGCCUGAUGCAGCGACGCCUCGUGGGGGAUGACGUCCUGCGGGUUGUAAACCGCUUUCUCCAUCGACGAAGGUCCGGGUGUUCUCGGGCUGACGGUAGUGGGAGAAGAAGCACCGGCCAACUACGUG
Molecule: ribosomal RNA, 474 nt
Filed under: uncultured bacterium
Lineage: Bacteria
Description: partial 16S ribosomal RNA
Rfam family: Bacterial small subunit ribosomal RNA
Source: RNAcentral